GUGAUUCUAUGUCUUGACAAUUACUAGGAAUUUGCUCAGAAAUCUUGAAGAAUCACCAUAAAUCAUCCCAACAACAAUUAGAGUGUGGUUCCACAUCCUAACGAUCAUUAGAAAUUUACUCAGAAAUUCUGAAGAAUCACCAUAAAUUAUCCUGACAAUAGUUAGGAGCUGUGUUUUCAAAAAUGCUUUUGGGGUGAGUUAGGCCGAAUCUCGGGG
RNAcentral lists this long non-coding RNA (216 nucleotides) under Solanum tuberosum (potato). RNAcentral describes it as "long non-coding RNA (STUB_LNC009353)". The record is from RNAcentral. Lineage: Eukaryota; Viridiplantae; Streptophyta; Magnoliopsida; Solanales; Solanaceae.